RNAcentral lists this ribosomal RNA (464 nucleotides) under uncultured bacterium. Its description in RNAcentral is "bacterial SSU rRNA". It matches the Rfam family "Bacterial small subunit ribosomal RNA", at positions 28 to 492 of the family's 1533-position model. The record is from RNAcentral.
GAUGAACGCUAGCGGCAGGCUUAACACAUGCAAGUCGAGGGGUAUGCCGAUUUAUCGGCAGAGACCGGCGCACGGGUGCGUAACGCGUAUGCAAUCUACCUUUCACAGAGGGAUAGCCCAGGGAAAUUUGGAUUAAUACCUCAUAGUAUAGCAGUUUCGCAUGAAACCACUAUUAAAGUUCCAACGGUGAAAGAUGAGCAUGCGUCCCAUUAGCUAGAUGGUAAGGUAACGGCUUACCAUGGCUACGAUGGGUAGGGGUCCUGAGAGGGAGAUCCCCCACACUGGUACUGAGACACGGACCAGACUCCUACGGGAGGCAGCAGUGAGGAAUAUUGGACAAUGGGCGCAAGCCUGAUCCAGCCAUGCCGCGUGCAGGAANAAGGUCCUAUGGAUUGGUAAACUGCUUUUAUACAGGAAGAAACACCUCUACGUGUAGAGACUUGACGGUACUGUAUGAAUAAGGA